RNAcentral lists this ribosomal RNA (177 nucleotides) under uncultured bacterium. RNAcentral's name for it is "partial 16S ribosomal RNA". It matches the Rfam family "Bacterial small subunit ribosomal RNA", at positions 335 to 524 of the family's 1533-position model. The record is from RNAcentral.
ACUCCUACGGGAGGCAGCAGUGGGGAAUAUUGCACAAUGGGCGCAAGCCUGAUGCAGCGACGCCGCGUGGGGGAUGACGGCCUUCGGGUUGUAAACCUCUUUCAGUGGGGACGAAGCGCAAGUGACGGUACCUACAGAAGAAGGACCGGCCAACUACGUGCCAGCAGCCGCGGUAAU